UACAGAGGGUGCGAGCGUUAAUCGGAAUUACUGGGCGUAAAGCGUGCGUAGGUGGUUUAAUAAGUCAGAUGUGAGAUCCCCGGGCUCAACCUGGGAACUGCAUUGGAUACUGGCAGGCUAGAGUGCGGUAGAGGGUAGUGGAAUUCCCGGUGUAGCAGUGAAAUGCGUAGAGAUCGGGAGGAACAUCCGUGGCGAAGGCGACUACCUGGACCAGCACUGACACUGAGGCACGAAAGCGUGGGGAGCAAACAGG
This 253-nucleotide ribosomal RNA is filed under the name uncultured bacterium. Its description in RNAcentral is "partial 16S ribosomal RNA". It matches the Rfam family "Bacterial small subunit ribosomal RNA", at positions 524 to 776 of the family's 1533-position model. The record is from RNAcentral.